RNAcentral lists this unclassified non-coding RNA (3351 nucleotides) under Acromyrmex echinatior (Panamanian leafcutter ant). RNAcentral's name for it is "mDS1 and EVI1 complex locus protein EVI1-like, transcript variant X3". The record is from RNAcentral. Lineage: Eukaryota; Metazoa; Arthropoda; Insecta; Hymenoptera; Formicidae.
UCCACAAAAUAGAAGAGUGCUGACUAUUUUAUUCCCUUCAUAUGAACUAUUCAGGACUAUUCCACCAUGGAACGCGACUAUUGAAUGUAUUUUUAAAUAACCUUUAACGUUACAACCAUACUCUAUUUAGAAUUAUCAGAGUAUAUGUAUACAAUUAUUUCUAUUCGAGAACUCGGAUCGAAAAUUUAGACCGACUUAACAUCGUGGACACAAGGCUUAAAGCAUACGCAAGCACACGGUCUCGAGCUUGUGAGUGAUUCAGAAUUGCAGAAGUGUGUAUCACAAAAUGCUGAAAACAUUCACGUGCCUCCAAUGCAAUUCAACCUUCGAUCGUGCUUCACAAUUGGAUUAUCAUCAUCGGAGUUUACAUCUAGGAGAAAGAUCCCAAAUAUGUCAGAUAUGUGGAAAGGGUUUCUUUCGCAAAGCAGAUUUGCGCACUCAUUUAAACAUUCAUUUAGGAACAAAUUUUUAUAUUUGUGAGAUCUGUGGGAGGAAGUUUAGUCAUAUAUCGAAUCUUAUAAGACACUGUAGAAUGCAUACAGGAAUUAAACCGUAUUCAUGUUCAAUUUGUGAUAAGAAUUUCACACAAAUGUCUUCAUUAGCAAGGCACAAACAAAUGAUACAUGGAAUAUCAAAGGAAGUCAUGCAGUAUUAUAAUCCUAGUCUUAUCAGCGAUAAACCACAAAUCAACAGUCGUGGAUUGAAAGAAAACAAGACAAUAGAUAAUAAUAUAAGAAAUAGAAUUCAUGAAACAUCUUAUAUAAAACCAAAAUAUAUUAGCCAGAGUACUACUAGAGAUUCAGAUGCAAAAAGUGAGAUGAUUUCCGAUCAACGCAACAUUGAUAUGGGCAGCAAAGCGUGUUUAUUCGAGACUAUUAUUUAUGUCACGUCUAAGCAGUUUGGUGAAAGUAAUUUAGCCGAAAAUGAGAGUACAAAUCGAUUACCGCAAGAUCAUUUUGUCAAGAUUGAGGAAAGACUUGGAUCUACUAACUUGUCGAUGAAUAAUACUAUUUCAAAUUCUUCUCAAGAUAUAGUUAAUAAUCAUGAACAAAUACCAUUUAAAGACAGUAUAACUUAUUUACAUCAAUUAGAUAAGAAUAAUUUUACCGUCCUAUCUCAAGAUAGAGAAUCUAAUACUGAAUCAGAAAUUCAAAAUAAUGAAUACAUUGUGAGAUCAAGCGAUUCAGAUAUAUAUAUAUCCCGAGGAACUUAUAAAGAAUCUUCCAUAAAUAACAUAAAAAAUUCAUUAAAUAUAGAAACAAAUUUUCCUAUUUAUAAUUCCAAUGAAGUUUUGAUGGAUCAAAAAUUUCUGCAUAAACAAAUAAACAAAGGAAUUAUUAGUGAAAAUAAAAAAUGUAAUAAACCAUUAAAUGAUGAUGACAAUCAAUUGUAUAUAGAACUCUCUAAUUCAGGAAUGUUAAAAUUUGAUGAGCCUAGAUACUGUAAUAAUAUCAGCUUAACCAGUCUGAAUUUUAAUCAUUCCAUGAAGUCCUAUCAUUCUGAAAACAAUGCUGCUAAUGAAAUAAUAUGUGCUUCGAAAUCCGCUAUGCAGAAUCAGGAAGGCUUGUCACGCAAUGAAGAAAAUUUAGAAAAUUUUAGUAAUGCCAAUAAUACCAUAUUAAAUAAUGAAGAACCAAUGUUGCAUUUAGUACAAACCGAAACUGGUGAGCAAUUUUAUGAAUUUAUAAUAAGCAACUUGGUAGAAAAAAUGCAGGAUACUUCGUGCACAAAAGAUGCGGAAGAUACAAUAGGAUAUCCUUCAAAUAUUUGUAAAGACAGUCAAAAAAUCAAUUCAAAUCUAAAAGGAAGUGAGAAAGUCGAUCAAAUAGAGCAUCAACAAGCUCUGGAUGAUCUUGUUGAUAUAAAUAACGAAUUUAAUUGUACACAAUUGGAUUUUUAUAGAGAGGAAAAAAAUUAUGCUAUCUUAAGUCAUGACGUAUCUGAACAUUUCAAACAAAAUUCAAAAGAAAAUGAAUGUGUAAAUAAUAUGCAAAAGAAAAAUCAGAUCCACAAUUCUGGGAACUUGGAAUUACUGGAAAAUGAAACACAUGUAGAUUUUGAUAAAUACGUCGAAAUUAAUCUUGAAGCAUUUGAAAGAUUGAAUUAUGAAAAUUGUAAUGAAAAAUUUUUGGAAUUUGUGGAGGUUGCUGAUAUUGGCAUAGAAUCCUCAGGAUACAAAGAACUUUCGAUGGUACGUUUGAUUCAAAAUGAUGGUGAACAGCUGUUAGAACUAUUGCAAGAUUCUCAAGCUGAGCAAGAAGCAAAUCAAGAUUUCAUACAAGCUAAUAAUUUUAAAGACUGUUCAAACAUUUUGCAAAAUAGUAAUAAAAGAACUGAUUGUCCUAAAAAUAAAUCAGACUUCUUCGCAUGUAUCGAGGAUAAUGUACCAUUAUCUUCGAUACAAGAAGAAAAUAUGAAUAACAACCGAGGUAUAAAUAAUAUUAAAGAAUAUACAGACAAUAGCAACCAUAUGCCUACAGAUGUAACGACUACUAAAAGUGCAAGUACUAAAAACAUUAGAACAUCAGAAGAAUUGAAAAAAUCAAAAAUAAUUUCAAGAAAGUUCCAAUGCUUAGUAUGCAAAAAGGCAUUUUCAACAACAUAUAAUUAUAAACAACACAUUGGAAUACAUUUUACCGAUCAGCAAAAAUUUCAUUGUAAAGAUUGUGGAGUGUCCUUCGCUUGGAAAUCUACUUUGAACAAACAUAUCGCAAACAAUCAUACCUCAGAUGGUCCGCAAAAGUUUGUUUGUGAGAUUUGUCCGAAAGUCUAUAGCACCUUAUCACAAGUAAACGAGCAUGUAAAAAGGGAUCAUUUAAAGCAGCGGAAUCAUAUUUGUCUGCACUGCGGCAAGUCUUUCUUUAAAAGAUUCGACCUGAAGACUCACAGUAGAACGCAUACGAACGAACGUCCGUAUGUAUGUCGUGUUUGCGGCAAAAGAUUUCAUCAUCAGAGCCAUAUUAUUCGUCACGAGCGUACGCAUUCAGACGAACGACCAUAUGUGUGCGAUAUUUGUCAAAGAACUUUUACACAGCCCAGUUCGCUAAAAGCACAUAAGCAGAAGCAUCAGCAAAUUCGGAUGGAUUUUUUGGAUUACCAGAUCGAUGAAGACGAUCCUAUUGCAUUAGCGACACUAUGAGACAUGGAUAUGAUACUUAUGAAAUAAAUAUAAAAGGCGGUAUGUUUCAUUUGGAGUGGAAAAAAGUAGUGGAUAUAUACGGGAUGAUCCAGAACAACUCGGAUGGCCUUGAAAAGACGUAUUCCUGACUUAAUUGAUUAUCGAAAUUAUCAAUCUUCUAUUAUUGGAAUGAAUAUAUGGUUACUGGAUUGGAAGUCGCUAUGAAUUUUAUG